GAAGCUCAGAAAUGACACAUAUGGCCAUGCUUACACUUUAAACGUGGUGAAGAAAAGACAUGAGGGUGUGAGUCUCCCAGAACACCGCUGCUCGUGACUGCUUCUUGCCUCAGGCUGGAGCUAGGAAAGGCUGCUCCCAGAAAGCUGUGAGGGAGCAAAAGGCUACAGGUACUAUAAGCUUUCUUCUUGGCAAGGAGGCUUAGCUGAUUCCUAGAAAUGAGCAAGCUGGCACCUACUUCUAGCAACAGACAAAUUUUAAGUAAUCCUGUGCCUAAAGUCUACAUACAUCUCAUGUUCUGGUUGUGGUAUAUCCUGAUUCAUCAAGUGGACACUCAAGAGCAAUACUACAAAUAAUAAUAUUUUAUUUAACAGUGUUUUCUAUAUUAAAUAGAAACUGAAACAUGCUGUGGGAAAUGGAAUUUUUUUUAAAUGAAACUUUGAUUUUAUUAAUUCAACUACAAGGCAUCUUAGAAUGUGACAGUCUGUUUUCUGGAUUAUUUUAUUCCUUAUAUACAGCAGCAAUGAAUGAUCUUCACCUCAUUAACUUUAUGUGUCUACAGUCUUGUGAUCAUGUCUGAAGCACAUCUGAACUUCCUUUGCUAUCAAUGGAGGGAAACAAGCACUUUCUAGUCUACCAUUCAUUUCAGAAAGCAACUUUAGCAUUAAGUGUGUCGCUUUGUAGAAACAGCCUUUUCAUUAUAUGAUAAAUGGACUCUAGAAAGCUAAUUCAGAUAUAUAUGUCCAGCCUUGGUCUUAUGAAUCAUGCUCCUGAUGCCUACACUAGACUGCCAUACACAUUUGGAAGAACAGCAUGACUGUUCCAGGUGCCUGACUUUCAGCUGGCUAUUACUGAGAAGCCAUGGGUUAAAGCAGUCUCUGAUUAGGAGGAAAAAAACAGUGAGAAGUCUGGAAAUAAGGGAUGGGAGUAUCAGCUGUGCCAAAGACAAAAUUGUCUGCUCUGAGAAGCUAAAUUAUUUCCCUGGCUAAAAUCCAGAGUCAAUAUUGUUCUGUUUGAAAUAUGCAGGCAAGUUGGCAAGAUCUAUGCACCACCCCUCUUUAACUGCACACUGUGAACACCUCUGUGGAGAGGUCCAAAGGUUUUUGCAUGUGAAAACAGGGAGAGGAUAGUCCUACAUACUAUCCCAUGAGGACUGAAUAAGUGAUUUUGGAGCUAUACGCUGUCUCUAACUGUCAAAAUGGACUUACAAUGCAUUUCAGAAAGUCAUCUGUGAAACAGCUCAAAGAAGGAAAAUGCAAACAAACCACAGUCAAAACCAAAUAAAUAUGGAUAAAAUUGAGGAUUCUCCUGCUUC
Molecule: long non-coding RNA, 1313 nt
Filed under: Junco hyemalis (dark-eyed junco)
Lineage: Eukaryota; Metazoa; Chordata; Aves; Passeriformes; Passerellidae
Description: lncRNA (ENSJHYG00000018030.1)
Source: RNAcentral